UCGAGAAUUUUUCACAAUGGGCGCAAGCCUGAUGGAGCGACGCCGCGUGGGGGAUGAAUGGCUUCGGCCCGUAAACCCCUGUCAUUUGCGAACAAUUCGUUUUACCUAACAAGUGGAACGUUGAUAGUAGCGAAAGAGGAAGGGACGGCUAACUCUGUGCCAGCAGCCGCGGUAAUACAGAGGUCCCAAGCGUUGUUCGGAUUCACUGGGCGUAAAGGGUGCGUAGGUGGCGAAGUAAGUCGGAUGUGAAAGCUCGGAGCUCAACUCCGAAAUGGCAUUGGAAACUACUUUGCUUGAGGAUUGGAGGGGGGACUGGAAUGCUUGGUGUAGCAGUGAAAUGCGUAGAUAUCAAGCGGAACACCAGUGGCGAAGGCGAGUCCCUGGACAAUUCCUGACACUGAGGCACGAAAGCUAGGGGAGCAAACAGGAUUAGAUACCCCCGUAGUCC
Molecule: ribosomal RNA, 448 nt
Filed under: uncultured bacterium
Lineage: Bacteria
Description: bacterial SSU rRNA
Rfam family: Bacterial small subunit ribosomal RNA
Source: RNAcentral